This 79-nucleotide ribosomal RNA is filed under the name Sanguibacter gelidistatuariae. Its description in RNAcentral is "partial 23S rRNA. Bacterial LSU". Lineage: Bacteria; Bacillati; Actinomycetota; Actinomycetes; Micrococcales; Sanguibacteraceae. The record is from RNAcentral.
GUAGAUAGGCCGGAUGUGGAAGAAGGGACGAAAGACCUUCGGAGCUGACCGGUACUAAUAAGCCGAUAACUUGAUAACA